GCUGUGAGGCAGCAACUCUACCGCUGCGCCGCCAAUGUGACAUGCCGAAUUCCGAGUUUUAGAAUGAAGUUAGCCGCUUACAAAUUCCCAUUCUCUGCCCAGCGUGGAGAAUCUUGAAUUGCCAAGACACAAGGCACUCUAGAUGUUGGUUCCUUUCCUUAAAAUCACGAAUUGAGAGUUAUCUAUUCAAGAAUAAUGUAGUGUGGUGCGUUGGAUUUGUCCAU
Molecule: long non-coding RNA, 224 nt
Organism: Amblyraja radiata (thorny skate)
Lineage: Eukaryota; Metazoa; Chordata; Chondrichthyes; Rajiformes; Rajidae
Exons: 2
Source: RefSeq, a predicted model, not a curated record